GGACUACUGGGGUAUCUAAUCCCGUUUGCUCCCCUGGCCUUCGUGUCUCAGUGUCAGGAACUGUCCAGAGACCCGCCUUCGCCACUGGUCUUCCUCAUGAUCUCUACGCAUUUCACUGCUACACCAUGAAUUCCAGUCUCCUCUCCAGUCCUCAAGCACCGCAGUAUCGAAUGCAGUUUCGGAGUUAAGCUCCGAAAUUUCACACCCGACUUACGGCGCCACCUACACACCCUUUACGCCCAAUGAAUCCGAACAACGCUUGAGACCUCUGUAUUACCGCGGCUGCUGGCAC
RNAcentral lists this ribosomal RNA (292 nucleotides) under uncultured Verrucomicrobiota bacterium. Its description in RNAcentral is "uncultured Verrucomicrobia bacterium partial 16S ribosomal RNA". Lineage: Bacteria; Pseudomonadati; Verrucomicrobiota. The record is from RNAcentral.